GAUGAACGCUGGCGGCGUGCUUAACACAUGCAAGUCGAACGAAGCACUUAAGAUUGAUUCUUCGGAUGAAGUCUUUUGUGACUGAGUGGCGGACGGGUGAGUAACGCGUGGGUAACCUGCCUCAUACAGGGGGAUAACAGUUAGAAAUGACUGCUAAUACCGCAUAAGCGCACAGGACCGCAUGGUCUGGUGUGAAAAACUCCGGUGGUAUGAGAUGGACCCGCGUCUGAUUAGCUAGUUGGUGAGGUAACGGCCCACCAAGGCGACGAUCAGUAGCCGACCUGAGAGGGUGAUCGGCCACAUUGGGACUGAGACACGGCCCAA
This 324-nucleotide ribosomal RNA is filed under the name uncultured bacterium. RNAcentral's name for it is "bacterial SSU rRNA". It matches the Rfam family "Bacterial small subunit ribosomal RNA", at positions 28 to 334 of the family's 1533-position model. The record is from RNAcentral.